UUUCAUUUCUAUAUUGAUUCCAUUCAACCAGCAAUUUACUAUUCUUAGGAAUAAGGACAAUAUUUCCAAUUCUGGAUUGAACAAUUCAACAUAUCAGUGAUUUAUUUAUGGGAUUUUAGAAGAAAAGAAGAUGAAAUAAAAUAGGAAAAAAUUUAAUUCUUUCAACUGAAAGAAUUCAAACAAAGGAUUGGACUAAGAGAAAUAUUUGAUGAAAAGAGAAGGGAAAAGAAGAGAGAGGAAGACGAACC
This 248-nucleotide long non-coding RNA is filed under the name Manihot esculenta (cassava). RNAcentral describes it as "long non-coding RNA (MESC_LNC005250)". Lineage: Eukaryota; Viridiplantae; Streptophyta; Magnoliopsida; Malpighiales; Euphorbiaceae. The record is from RNAcentral.